Molecule: long non-coding RNA, 1277 nt
Organism: Tachyglossus aculeatus (Australian echidna)
Lineage: Eukaryota; Metazoa; Chordata; Mammalia; Monotremata; Tachyglossidae
Exons: 3
Source: RefSeq, a predicted model, not a curated record
AGAAGUGAAGUGACUUGCCCAAGGUCCCACAGGAGAGACGGCGUGGCUCCAAAGACCUGUUCCUCCAACCUCGUGUCUGAAAGCCGAAGCAGUCUGCUUGUCCCUCAGGAGCAGCUUCCCUGGAAGAAGGAAUGUAAUUUCCAAUUGCUACAACCCAGUGAUGUAGCUUGUAACAGGCCUUUAUCCUUGUGUCCCUUUGACUCUUCCAGAGAUGUUUUCAGUUGUUGGGGUGAGUAGUGAAACUUUAGUACCAGUCAUUGUAAAUGUAAUCCAAUGUAUUUCAGGUCAAAUAGUGGAACUGGGUGUGAGGGCAGAGCAGCAAGCAGGUCCAGGUGCUGUCAGGAGAAGUCGGAUUUGGGAGAGAAAGACUGCUUUGGCUAAUAAGGAAAUGUCCUUGGUAUUGAUGGCAUGAAGAGGCAUUCAUCAUUGGUAUGUAUGGAGCACUUAACCGUGUACAGGGCACUGUAUUUAGUUCUUGGGAGAGUACAACACAACAGCAGUGGUAGACACUUUCCUGGCCCUUAGUGUUUGGAGGGGGCUGGCAGGGAGAAGUCCUUGAGAUUUAUUAGAAAACAAAGCACAAGUGCAAGGAGUGAAGCAGAGGGGCAAGGGAGAAGUGUGCCAUCUUUAACCUUGCAACUGGAGAAGGGGAGUGUUUGCUCAAGAUGGUAAAAACAGGAUGUUAAUGGGAGGAGACUGGAACAGCAAGAGAGAAAGAUGAUUUGAGCAGUGGCGUUCUGAUUGGACAGAAGUAAGGGAUUGAUAAAAGACAAAACAAGGGGAGGCAGGGGAUGUGGUUUUGAAGAUUUUCAAUGUGAUGUGUUAUCAGAGAACCAGCUACCGUGCUAUGGGGCCCAGGCGGCUCCAGGGGGGUUUGAUUAGAAGUUCCCCUCUUCAACUGCUACCAGAGCCGUUGCCUUCCUGCUACCGAAGUGGAUUUCAUGGCCGUCCUCUGAUGCCCAGGCUCUUUCCACUAGGCCGUGCUGUUUUCUUCCUGUACUUGAUGUAAGAGGUUAAGUCAGUGAUCUCAUGAAGAAUUCUUGCCCGCAGUAGGAAUUGUUAGUUAUUGAAGACUGUGGAAUUCCUUUCCCCAAGUCCUCCUGCCUCAGAGAUCGGGUCUUUGGCUCUUCUGUGCCCAUUGGCUACCACAGGCCCUGGCCCUGCUUUCCUUCCCCUGGUUUUGCUGUUUGGUUCUGAAUUAGUAGUGCACUCCGGGUGAUGGGAAUAAUCAUAAUGGUAUUUAAAUGCUUACUUUGUUGCAAACACUGUUGCAAAAA